UGGGGAAUAUUGGACAAUGGGCGCAAGCCUGAUCCAGCCAUGCCGCGUGAGUGAUGAAGGCCCUAGGGUUGUAAAGCUCUUUCACCGGUGAAGAUAAUGACGGUAACCGGAGAAGAAGCCCCGGCUAACUUCGUGCCAGCAGCCGCGGUAAUACGAAGGGGGCUAGCGUUGUUCGGAUUUACUGGGCGUAAAGCGCGCGCAGGUGGUUUAGAAAGUCUGAUGUGAAAGCCCACGGCUCAACCGUGGAGGGUCAUUGGAAACUAAUAAACUUGAGUGCAGGAGAGAAAAGUGGAAUUCCUAGUGUAGCGGUGAAAUGCGUAGAGAUUAGGAGGAACACCGGUGGCGAAAGCGGCUUUUUGGCCUGCAACUGACACUGAGGCGCGAAAGCGUGGGGAGCAAACAGG
RNAcentral lists this ribosomal RNA (404 nucleotides) under Verrucomicrobiota bacterium. Its description in RNAcentral is "Verrucomicrobia bacterium partial 16S ribosomal RNA". It matches the Rfam family "Bacterial small subunit ribosomal RNA", at positions 355 to 776 of the family's 1533-position model. The record is from RNAcentral. Lineage: Bacteria; Pseudomonadati; Verrucomicrobiota.